AUACAGAGGGUGCGAGCGUUACUCGGAAUCACUGGGCGUAAAGCGCGCGCAGGCGGCUUGAUAAGUUGGAUGUGAAAGCCUACGGCUCAACCGUAGAACUGCAUCCAAAACUGUCAAGCUAGAGUCUGGGAGGGGAAGAUGGAAUUAGUUGUGUAGGGGUAAAAUCCGUAGAGAUAACUAGGAAUACCAAAAGCGAAGGCGAUCUUCUGGAACGGUACUGACGCUGAGGCGCGAAAGCGUGGGGAGCAAACAGGAUUAGAAACCCCGGUAGUCC
RNAcentral lists this ribosomal RNA (274 nucleotides) under uncultured bacterium. RNAcentral's name for it is "partial 16S ribosomal RNA". It matches the Rfam family "Bacterial small subunit ribosomal RNA", at positions 523 to 796 of the family's 1533-position model. The record is from RNAcentral.